RNAcentral lists this ribosomal RNA (775 nucleotides) under uncultured bacterium. RNAcentral's name for it is "bacterial SSU rRNA". It matches the Rfam family "Bacterial small subunit ribosomal RNA", at positions 722 to 1506 of the family's 1533-position model. The record is from RNAcentral.
CAGCUUUCUGGACAGUACUGACGCUCAGGCACGAAAGCCAAGGGAGAGAACAGGAUUAGAUACCCUGGUAUUCUUGGCCCUAAACGAUGUUCACUAGGUGUCGGGUUUUCUCGGUACCGCAGCUAACGCAUUAAGUGAACCGCCUGGGGACUACGGCCGCAAGGUUGAAACUCAAAGGAAUUGGCGGGGGCCCGCACAAGCGGUGGAGCAUGUGGCUUAAUUCGAUGCAACGCGAAGAACCUUACCAGGGCUUGACAUGUACCUGCAAUCUCCCCAAAAGGAGCCGCCUUCGAGGGUGGUACACAGGUGGUGCAUGGCUGUCGUCAGCUCGUGUUGUGAAAUGUUGGGUUAAGUCCCGCAACGAGCGCAACCCUCAUGUUUUGUUGCCAGCGAGUAAUGUCGGGAACUCGAAACAAACUGCCUCUGUAAGGAGGAGGAAGGUGGGGACGACGUCAAGUCAUCAUGCCCCUUACGCCCUGGGCUGCACACAUGCUACAAUGGCCGGUACAAUGGGUUGCUAACCCGCGAGGGCAUGCUAAUCUCAAAAAACCGGUCUCAGUUCGGAUUGGAGUCUGCAACUCGACUCCAUGAAGUUGGAAUCGCUAGUAACCGCAGGUCAGCAAUACUGCGGUGAAUACGUUCCCGGGCCUUGCACACACCGCCCGUCACGCCACGAAAGUCGGUCUUACCCGAAGUCGCCGCGCCAACCGCAAGGAGGCAAGCGCCGAAGGUAGGGCUGGUGAUUGGGACGAAGUCGUAACAAGGUAACCAAGGG